UACGAAGGGGGCUAGCGUUGCUCGGGAUUACUGGGCGUAAAGCGUGUGUAGGCGGCUACGUAAGUCGGAUGUGAAAGCCCCAGGCUCAACCUGGGAAGUGCACUCGAUACUGCGUAGCUUGAGUAUCGGAGAGGUUGGUGGAAUUCUCGGUGUAGAGGUGAAAUUCGUAGAUAUCGAGAGGAACACCGGUGGCGAAGGCGGCCAACUGGACGAAUACUGACGCUGAGACACGAAAGCGUGGGGAGCAAACAGG
RNAcentral lists this ribosomal RNA (253 nucleotides) under uncultured bacterium. RNAcentral's name for it is "partial 16S ribosomal RNA". It matches the Rfam family "Bacterial small subunit ribosomal RNA", at positions 524 to 776 of the family's 1533-position model. The record is from RNAcentral.